UACGAAGGGGGCUAGCGUUGUUCGGAAUUACUGGGCGUAAAGCGUGCGCAGGCGGCUAUCCAAGUCAGUGGUGAAAGCCCGGAGUUCAACUCCGGAAUUGCCAUUGAAACUGUUUAGCUUGAGGACGAGAGAGGUGAGUGGAAUUCCCAGUGUAGAGGUGAAAUUCGUAGAUAUUGGGAAGAACACCGGUGGCGAAGGCGGCUCACUGGCUCGUUUCUGACGCUCAGGCACGACAGCGUGGGGAGCAAACAGG
This 253-nucleotide ribosomal RNA is filed under the name uncultured bacterium. Its description in RNAcentral is "partial 16S ribosomal RNA". It matches the Rfam family "Bacterial small subunit ribosomal RNA", at positions 524 to 776 of the family's 1533-position model. The record is from RNAcentral.